Molecule: transfer RNA, 73 nt
Filed under: Pteropus alecto (black flying fox)
Lineage: Eukaryota; Metazoa; Chordata; Mammalia; Chiroptera; Pteropodidae
Rfam family: tRNA
About the family: Transfer RNA (tRNA) molecules are approximately 80 nucleotides in length.
Source: Rfam by way of RNAcentral
GGUUCCAUAGUGUAGCGGUUAGCACGUCUGCCUUACAUGCAGAAGGUCCUGGGUUCGCAGCCCAGUGAAGCCA